Molecule: ribosomal RNA, 450 nt
Filed under: uncultured bacterium
Lineage: Bacteria
Description: partial 16S ribosomal RNA
Rfam family: Bacterial small subunit ribosomal RNA
Source: RNAcentral
GUGGGGAAUUUUGGACAAUGGGCGCAAGCCUGAUCCAGCAAUGCCGCGUGCAGGAAGAAGGCCUUCGGGUUGUAAACUGCUUUUGUACGGAACGAAACGGUCCUGGCUAAUAUCCGGGGCUAAUGACGGUACCGUAAGAAUAAGCACCGGCUAACUACGUGCCAGCAGCCGCGGUAAUACGUAGGGUGCGAGCGUUAAUCGGAAUUACUGGGCGUAAAGCGUGCGCAGGCGGUGCUGUAAGACAGGCGUGAAAGCCCCGGGCUCAACCUGGGAAUUGUGCUUGUGACUGCAGUGCUGGAGUGCGGCAGAGGGGGAUGGAAUUCCGCGUGUAGCAGUGAAAUGCGUAGAUAUGCGGAGGAACACCGAUGGCGAAGGCAAUCCCCUGGGCCUGCACUGACGCUCAUGCACGAAAGCGUGGGGAGCAAACAGGAUUAGAAACCCCAGUAGUCC